GACGAACGCUGGCGGCGUGCCUAAUACAUGCAAGUAGAACGCACAGUUUAUACCGUAGCUUGCUACACCAUAGACUGUGAGUUGCGAACGGGUGAGUAACGCGUAGGUAACCUGCCUGGUAGCGGGGGAUAACUAUUGGAAACGAUAGCUAAUACCGCAUAAUAUUAAUUAUUGCAUGAUAAUUAAUUGAAAGGUGCAAUUGCACCACUACCAGAUGGACCUGCGUUGUAUUAGCUAGUAGGUGAGGUAACGGCUCACCUAGGCGACGAUACAUAGCCGACCUGAGAGGGUGAUCGGCCACACUGGGACUGAGACACGGCCCAGACUCCUACGGGAGGCAGCAGUGGGGAAUCUUCGGCAAUGGACGAAAGUCUGACCGAGCAACGCCGCGUGAGUGAAGAAGGUUUUCGGAUCGUAAAGCUCUGUUGUAAGAGAAGAACGGGUGUGAGAGUGGAAAGUUCACACUGUGACGGUAUCUUACCAGAAAGGGACGGCUAACUACGU
RNAcentral lists this ribosomal RNA (504 nucleotides) under uncultured bacterium. RNAcentral describes it as "partial 16S ribosomal RNA". It matches the Rfam family "Bacterial small subunit ribosomal RNA", at positions 28 to 506 of the family's 1533-position model. The record is from RNAcentral.